UCAAACGAGAGUUUGAUCCCGGCUCAGAAUCAACGCUGGCGGCGCGCUUAACACAUGCAAGUCGCACGAGAAAGGGAGCAAUCCUAAGUAAAGUGGCGCACGGGUGAGUA
Molecule: ribosomal RNA, 110 nt
Filed under: Acidobacteriota bacterium
Lineage: Bacteria; Pseudomonadati; Acidobacteriota
Description: partial 16S ribosomal RNA
Rfam family: Bacterial small subunit ribosomal RNA
Source: RNAcentral